RNAcentral lists this microRNA precursor (100 nucleotides) under Gorilla gorilla gorilla (western lowland gorilla). Its description in RNAcentral is "miRNA (ENSGGOG00000041753.1)". The record is from RNAcentral. Lineage: Eukaryota; Metazoa; Chordata; Mammalia; Primates; Hominidae.
UGAGGCAGGAGAAUUGCUUGAACCCAGGAGGUGGAGGUUGCAGUGAGCCGAGAUUGUGCCACUGCACUCCAGCCUGGGUGACAGAGCGAGACUCCAUGUC